This 1000-nucleotide long non-coding RNA is filed under the name Manihot esculenta (cassava). RNAcentral describes it as "long non-coding RNA (MESC_LNC004537)". Lineage: Eukaryota; Viridiplantae; Streptophyta; Magnoliopsida; Malpighiales; Euphorbiaceae. The record is from RNAcentral.
AAAUAAAAUAUAAUAAAUAACAGAAACUCCAUCUCCCAAACUUUCACAUAAUAGGCCUAUUUAUUCCUCAGUUUUUUCCACUGGAACCUCUGUGGUGGCUGUCUCUGGUGCUUCAGUGACUGGCUUCUCUUCUUCAGCUGGUUUCUCUUCCUCUGCAGGAGCAGCUGGUGUCUCUGUUACAGUCUCUGUGGGCUUCUCCUCUGCAACUGGCUCAGGCUCAGGCUCAGCCCCAGCCUCAGCCUCAGGCUCAGCCUCAGCCUCAGCUGGCUUUUCUGUCUCUUGAUCUACUUCUGGUGCAGGCUCCUCAGUCUUCUCAACCUUUUCUACUUCUUCAACAUUCUCGGUUUCAGCCUCGGCAGGAGCUUCAACUUCCGGUUCUGUAGGAGCAGCUGCAGGUUCUUCUGCAGGUUUAGCAUCGGCGGCUACGGGCUCAGAGGCAGGUGGUGCGGCAGGUUCUUCGGUCUUCGUCUCCUCAGUCUUGAUCACCUCAGGUACUGUUGCGGCUGUCUCAACCUGCAAGAACCCACAUCAAAUAAUUUCCCUGGUAAAUAAUCAAGUGGAAGAAAGAUUGAAGAAAGGUAGUAACUAGCAAGUAAUAUUAGUCUCUUCAUGAGUCAUCAAGUUCUAUCUCAUUUAAGAACACGAUCCAAAUACCUAAACAUAUAAUACCAUGCAGAGACAUAUCGAAACAAGAUUCAAUAAAAUCAAUAAUGGAUUUUUUAGAAGAUCAUGAUCCAGGUUAGUUGCAAUCAGUUCUCUUUACUGUAAUUCAUUUGCAACACUGUGGGAUCACUAGUUAGAAUCUCGAUCUAAUUCUAAUGAACGAACAAAAAGUUGGUUGAAACAAAUGGAUCAUCAUUGUGAUCAUCUCUAUCACACAUGGAUAGAUCCAUUCAUCCAGAAGAUCAACUCGAUCAUUAGCAUAACUAAAGGAAGAGGAGGACCAUUGAAGUAGAAGAAAUGAGCAUGAUGAAAGCUAAAGAAAGACUGAUGAGAUACC